UACCAAGGCGACGAUGGGUAGCCGGCCUGAGAGGGUGAUCGGCCACACUGGGACUGAGAUACGGCCCAGACGCCUACGGGAGGCAGCAGCUAAGAAUCCUCCGCAAUGGACGAAAGUCUGACGGAGCGACGCCGCGUGGGUGAAGAAGGCCGGAAGGUUGUAAAGCCCUUUUCUCGUUGAGGAAUAAGCACAGGAGGGAAUGCCUGUGCGAUGACGGUAGGCGAGGAAUAAGUCCCGGCCAAUUACGUGCCAGCAGCCGCGGUAACACGUAUGGGACGAGCGUUGUUCGGAAUCAUUGGGCGUAAAGGGCGCGUAGGCGGCGAGGUAAGCCUGGUGUGAAAGACCGCAGCUUAACUGCGGAACCGCGCUAGGAACUGCUUUGCUUGAGUUCAGGAGGGGGAGCUGGAAUUCCAGGUGUAGGGGUGAAAUCUGUAGAUAUCUGGAAGAACACCGGCGGCGAAGGCGAGCUCCUGGCCAUGAACUGACGCUGAGGCGCGAAAGCGUGGGGAGCGAACAGGAUUAGAUACCCUGGUAGUCCACGCUGUAAACGAUGUGCACUAGGUGUUGGGCCACGAAGGUUCAGUGCCGGAGUCAACGCGUUAAGUGCACCGCCUGGGGAGUAUGCUCGCGAGGGUGAAACUCAAAGGAAUUGACGGGGGCCCGCACAAGCGGUGGAGCAUGUGGUUUAAUUCGAUGAUACGCGAGGAACCUUACCAGGGUUUGACAUAUGCCGGAAUGUGCAGGAGACUGCGCAGCCCUUCGGGGCCGGUAUACAGGUGCUGCAUGGCCGUCGUCAGCUCGUGCCGUGAGGUGUUGGGUUAAGUCCCGCAACGAGCGCAACCCCUACCGUCUGUUGCCAGCAUUCAGUUGGGGACUCAGGCGGAACUGCCGGUGACAAACCGGAGCAAGGUGGGGACGACGUCAGGUCAUCAUGGCCCUUAUAUCCUGGGCUACACACGUGCUACAAUGGCCGGUACAGAGCGAAGCAACACCGCGAGGUAG
Molecule: ribosomal RNA, 1002 nt
Filed under: uncultured organism
Description: bacterial SSU rRNA
Rfam family: Bacterial small subunit ribosomal RNA
Source: RNAcentral